Scylla paramamosain (green mud crab) is the source of this 409-nucleotide long non-coding RNA. RefSeq lists it as uncharacterized. The record is from RefSeq and is a predicted model, not a curated record. NCBI's taxonomy places the organism in Eukaryota, Metazoa, Arthropoda, Malacostraca, Decapoda, Portunidae. The transcript has 4 exons.
AGCCGCACGUCUUUGUGACGUGGCAGUGGGGAGGUGAGGUGGCGACGAACGGUCAGCCAGGGUUAGUUGCUGUCCGCCCCUACCUGAAGUGUGUUGUGAUGGAUCACUGGAUGUAAUAUUUAUUCAAGACUUGGGAUUAUUGUAUUAUGCUGUUUAUGAAUCCAACUACUGGUUCGGAAAGUUCAUGGAGGCAAUCCAUAUGCGGCUGGAGCUACCGUUGUAAGCCGAGGGUCAUUAUCCACUCAUCUACCUGUACAUUAGCGGCGCCAGCACGACGAGACAGCCUCCUCUUGUCCUUCAGGUGUGGGAGUGAAGGAAAUGAGUGAAGGAGGUAAAAAGCGAAGAUGAAUAGGAAUAGACAGAUGAAAAUAUUCUCUUAUGGAUUCUCUCUAUUUUUGAGCGUGGCGUG